Molecule: non-coding RNA, 258 nt
Organism: Paramuricea clavata
Lineage: Eukaryota; Metazoa; Cnidaria; Anthozoa; Malacalcyonacea; Plexauridae
Source: the annotation of a GenBank genome assembly
GAACGGAAUCGAUUACCACAGCUGGAAGCCUGGAACGAGCAUCUUAAAAUGAGUAAAAUUGGAAAAUAUACUGUAGCCUUGUGAAGUUCGCAAAUUUUGUAUAUUUGCAUUACGUGCAUUAUUUGCAAUACAAAUAUAUACAAAAUUUGCGAACUUCACAGGGCUAUAUUUUCUUCAUUUUACAACAUUUAGCAACCAAUCUUUGCAGUUUUACUCAUUCUAAGACGCUCUUUCUAGCUGUGGUGUUGGAUUUCGUUC